RNAcentral lists this long non-coding RNA (207 nucleotides) under Vigna radiata. Its description in RNAcentral is "long non-coding RNA (VRAD_LNC011553)". Lineage: Eukaryota; Viridiplantae; Streptophyta; Magnoliopsida; Fabales; Fabaceae. The record is from RNAcentral.
CAGUACAGUCCAACACCACUCUUGAGUUUUCUCACACUCAGAUACCAGGUAAAACUUUCUUUAUCUUUUCUUUAACUUUCUCUUCAUUUUCUUUCUAUAGAAGAAGAAUGACCACCGUGGGAAAUGAGUCCUUCAACAGGUAUUGGGUUUGAAACCACACUUGAGCAACUCAGCCACCGCAUAAAAAAAGAACUCAUGAAAUUCGAA